RNAcentral lists this long non-coding RNA (1022 nucleotides) under Fragaria vesca (wild strawberry). RNAcentral's name for it is "long non-coding RNA (FVES_LNC004036)". Lineage: Eukaryota; Viridiplantae; Streptophyta; Magnoliopsida; Rosales; Rosaceae. The record is from RNAcentral.
AAGAAACACCACAAGUGGCAGACGACCACAGAGGAGUUGGAGAAGUCCCAAGACUCGAGCUUCCCAAGAGGGUCCUUGAAAGCUUCUUUAAUCCCCUGAAGGCACUUGACGUCGUCUUCCACAACAGCUUGGUAGGAUGAGAAGAAGCUCAAGAACAAGACCAGGGUGAGAACCCAGGUGGGAGUUGAGCUGAACAUAGUGGGGUUAAUGGAAAUGGAGAGAUGGGUUGUGCGAUUUGGGUCUAGAGGAGAAAAGGGUGGAGAGGAAUUGUCAAAUUUGCGCGUAUUCUGAAAAGGGCCAUUGACUUCAGUACAGGAGAGGUUUUAGGGAAAAUGGGGUUUAAUUGGACUGCAUAAUUCAAUCAAAGAUUGAGAGUGGGUGAUUCAUGAUUGAUUGAGAAAUUGCAAAAGGGGAUGCUUUGAGGUUGCUUUGACUAAAGACUAGAGCUUUGUUUUUGUGCAGGUGCUUUCGAGGAGUUACCCACUUACCCAGAGAGCUGAGAGAGCAACGGAGUUGAGAGAGAGGGCGAGAGAGUGAGAGUUAAGACAACAUUGAGAGAGAGAGGGCUUACCGUUGAGAGUGAGAGGGCGAGAGUCUCGAUCUGUUUGAGAGUGAGUUGAGAGUCGAUCUAUUUGGUGGGUUUAGGGUGAAUGAAUGCGAGAGAGAGAGAGAGAGAGACAGCGAUAUGAAUGCGAGAGAGUGAGAGUGUGAGACAGCGUUUAGGGUUGGUGGGUACGUUAUUAAAUUUGUCUAACUUUUUCACACAACAGAAUAUAUACUCGGAGGGAAACAUUGGAGCCAAAACUAUUUUGGCAUAGCACACCAAAUCAAUGGAGGCAAACUUUGGAGCCAAAACGACUUUGGCAUGCCACCAGAUUUUUCAGUCACACAACAAAAUGUUUUAAACUAUUGUAUAUAUUUUCUAAACUUGCACUAGGUAUUGCUUAGUAUAAAUUGUAACAACAUCAUAUAACAAAGAAAUAAAAGUCUAUUGUCCAAACAUUUUGCAUCUUGCACGACUU